UACGAAGGGGGCUAGCGUUGCUCGGAAUCACUGGGCGUAAAGCGCACGUAGGCGGACUCUUAAGUCGGUGGUGAAAUCCUGGAGCUCAACUCCAGAACUGCCUUCGAUACUGGGAGUCUCGAGUUCGGGAGAGGUGAGUGGAACUGCGAGUGUAGAGGUGAAAUUCGUAGAUAUUCGCAGGAACACCGGUGGCGAAGGCGGCUCACUGGGCCGGUACUGACGCUGAGGGACGAAAGCUAGGGGAGCGAAUGGG
Molecule: ribosomal RNA, 253 nt
Filed under: uncultured bacterium
Lineage: Bacteria
Description: partial 16S ribosomal RNA
Rfam family: Bacterial small subunit ribosomal RNA
Source: RNAcentral